This 253-nucleotide ribosomal RNA is filed under the name uncultured bacterium. RNAcentral's name for it is "partial 16S ribosomal RNA". It matches the Rfam family "Bacterial small subunit ribosomal RNA", at positions 524 to 776 of the family's 1533-position model. The record is from RNAcentral.
UACAGAGGUCUCAAGCGUUGUUCGGAUUCAUUGGGCGUAAAGGGUGCGUAGGUGGCGCGUUAAGUCAGGUGUGAAAUUUCGGAGCUUAACUCCGAAACUGCAUUCGAUACUGCGGUGCUUGAGGACUGGAGAGGAGACUGGAAUUCAUGGUGUAGCAGUGAAAUGCGUAGAGAUCAUGAGGAAGACCAGUGGCGAAGGCGGGUCUCUGGACAGUUCCUGACACUGAGGCACGAAGGCCAGGGGAGCAAACGGG